This 402-nucleotide ribosomal RNA is filed under the name uncultured bacterium. RNAcentral describes it as "bacterial SSU rRNA". It matches the Rfam family "Bacterial small subunit ribosomal RNA", at positions 355 to 774 of the family's 1533-position model. The record is from RNAcentral.
UGGGGAAUCUUGCACAAUGGGGGCAACCCUGAUGCAGCGACGCCGCGUGAGCGAUGAAGCCCUUCGGGGCGUAAAGCUCUUUCGACCGGAACGAUAAUGACGGUACCGGGAGAAGAAGCUGCGGCUAACUACGUGCCAGCAGCCGCGGUAAUACGUAGGCAGCAAGCGUUGUUCGGAGUUACUGGGCGUAAAGAGUGCGUAGGCGGUUUUCUAAGUUCGGUGUGAAAUCUCCCGGCUUAACUGGGAGGGUGCGCCGAAGACUGGGAAGCUGGAGUGUGGGAAAGGCAGGCGGAAUUCCUGGUGUAGCGGUGGAAUGCGUAGAUAUCAGGAGGAACACCGGCGGUGUAGACGGCUUGCUAGACCAUAACUGACGCUGAGGCACGAAAGCGUGGGUAGCAAACA